RNAcentral lists this ribosomal RNA (258 nucleotides) under uncultured bacterium. RNAcentral describes it as "partial small subunit ribosomal RNA". It matches the Rfam family "Bacterial small subunit ribosomal RNA", at positions 26 to 286 of the family's 1533-position model. The record is from RNAcentral.
AGGACGAACGCUGGCGGCGUGCUUAACACAUGCAAGUUGAGCGGAAAGGCCCUUCGGGGUACUCGAGCGGCGAACGGGUGAGUAACACGUGAGCAACCUGCCCCUGGCUCUGGGAUAGCCUCCGGAAACGGGGAUUAAUACCGGAUAUUCACUGUCUCCUGCAUGGGGGGUGGUGGAAAGUUUUUCGGCUAGGGUGGGGCUCGCGGCCUAUCAGCUUGUUGGGGGGGUGACGGCCCCACCAAGGCGACGACGGGGUAG